ACUUGGGUAGUUUAAUUAAAACUUUGAUUUGUGGUGUCAAUAAUGUAUUUAUUGCCUCAGGUU
RNAcentral lists this transfer RNA (63 nucleotides) under Comatermes perfectus. RNAcentral describes it as "tRNA-His". The record is from RNAcentral. Lineage: Eukaryota; Metazoa; Arthropoda; Insecta; Blattodea; Kalotermitidae.